This 399-nucleotide ribosomal RNA is filed under the name uncultured bacterium. Its description in RNAcentral is "bacterial SSU rRNA". It matches the Rfam family "Bacterial small subunit ribosomal RNA", at positions 30 to 426 of the family's 1533-position model. The record is from RNAcentral.
AUUGAACGCUGGCGGCGUGCCUAACACAUGCAGGUCGAGCGGUAACAGGUGUAGCAAUACAUGCUGACGAGCGGCGAACGGGUGAGUAAUGCUUCGGAAUCUACCCAUGUAGUGGGGAAUAACCAGCCGAAAGGUUGGCUAAUACCGCAUACGACCUACGGGUGAAAGCAGGGGAUCGCAAGACCUUGCGCUAUUGGAUGAGCCGAAGUCGGAUUAGCUAGUUGGUGAGGUAACGGCUCACCAAGGCGACGAUCCGUAGCUGGUCUGAGAGGACGACCAGCCACACUGGGACUGAGACACGGCCCAGACUCCUACGGGAGGCAGCAGUGGGGAAUAUUGGACAAUGGGGGCAACCCUGAUCCAGCGACGCCGCGUGUGUGAAGAAGGCCUGCGGGUUGU